UACAGAGGUGGCAAGCGUUGUUCGGAAUUACUGGGCGUAAAGGGCGCGUAGGCGGGUGCUCAAGUCCGGGGUGAAAUCCUCCAGCUCAACUGGAGAACUGCCUCGGAUACUGGGUGCCUCGAGUGUGGUAGGGGUGUGCGGAACUAUCGGUGGAGCGGUGAAAUGCGUUGAUAUCGAUAGGAACUCCGGUGGCGAAGGCGGCACACUGGACCACAACUGACGCUGAGGCGCGAAAGCCAGGGGAGCAAACGGG
This 253-nucleotide ribosomal RNA is filed under the name uncultured bacterium. Its description in RNAcentral is "partial 16S ribosomal RNA". It matches the Rfam family "Bacterial small subunit ribosomal RNA", at positions 524 to 776 of the family's 1533-position model. The record is from RNAcentral.